This 267-nucleotide ribosomal RNA is filed under the name uncultured prokaryote. RNAcentral's name for it is "partial 16S ribosomal RNA". It matches the Rfam family "Bacterial small subunit ribosomal RNA", at positions 524 to 776 of the family's 1533-position model. The record is from RNAcentral.
UACGUAGGUGGCAAGCGUUGUCCGGAUUUACUGGGCGUAAAGAGUAUGUAGGCGGACAUUUAAGUAGAAAGUGAAAGGUUGGAGCUUAACUCCAACAUUGCUUCCUAUACUGGGUGUCUUGAGUGCCGGAGAGGAAAGCGGAACGACACGUGUAGCGGUGAAAUGCGUUGAUAUGUGUCGGAACACCAAUGGCGAAGGCAGCUUUCUGGACGGAGCCGCAAGGCUUAAAACUGACGCUGAGAUACGAAAGCGUGGGUAGCGAACAGG